This is a long non-coding RNA of Lactuca sativa (garden lettuce), 2588 nucleotides long. RefSeq lists it as uncharacterized. NCBI's taxonomy places the organism in Eukaryota, Viridiplantae, Streptophyta, Magnoliopsida, Asterales, Asteraceae. The record is from RefSeq and is a predicted model, not a curated record.
UGUUCAUUUACCAAUCAAAUACUUUCCUCUUCAAUUUUCACAUGUCAAUAGGAAAAUCAAGAAUUUAUCUUCUAAAUCUUCAAUCAUCCUCAAAUCUCGGUCUCUUGAUUAGAUUAGCUGUGAUUUGCAUUUCAAAAUCCCCAAUUCUCUCCCUUCAGUUGUAAAAUUAGUCGCUAAAUAAGCAAUUACCUCACACAUAAUUCUUCAAUCGAUACGUCUCUCCCUAUAUCUCUGUAAAUCACUACAAUUGAAACCCUAGACAACCCUUUCUCAAAUGGAGUAGCCGGUUUCUUCUUCAAACUCACACUACCUUUCUCUAUUUUCAAAGAAAUACAUUAAGCACCAACAAUAUUCUUGCCAAAUGGAUUCCCUUCACCGUUGUGCUCAUAUCCCUCUACUACUAGGUAACUUGUGUGUAAAUAUCUAAACACUUUAUUUGUAAAGACGAAAGAGUGAAAUCUCGUGGUUUUGAGCGACAAUGGUCAUUAAUCGGUUCAUCUACUCUCCAUUAACUAUCAUUCUGCUUCAAAUCGACGGGUGUUGUUUGCUAUUGCAUGGUAUUUUGUUUCAACCGAAACAAGGAAAGGGUAAUAUAAUAUUUUUUUAUGUAUUUAACAUCAGGUAUCGUUUUCGGCCUACAUUUAACAUUUGCUCUAUAUUUUUAUUUUGCUAGCAAGAUUAUUGCUAUUAUUUGAUAUUUUUUUGAAUAAUAUGUAUCCAUUUAAGAAUAAUAUUGAACGUCAUGAGUAUUGACUGUAAAAAACUUAGCUUAUGAACCAACUGCUAAAUUUUUUCUUUAGAUUGGUUGAAAUAUAUUGUAAUCAUCUAAUAUCACCUACCACAUUCGUAUAGGGAUAAUCAGCUGCAAGUGUGUUUAUGACAUAGAUGGUUUAGGGUCGCUAUAUUGUGGUGCUAGAAACUAGAGUGAUGCUCGAUGGUUGUGUUUUUAGCAAGAAUUAGAGACUCUACAUUAAAUUUGUGGUGCAGGCUUCAUUGCAAUGUUUAGGAUGAUGUUGGGGCCAUUAGGGCCAAGUCUCUGUUUAUCAAGUAAAUGAGAUUUUCUAUAGUCUGUUUUCUGUAGUUAUUUUAGAGACUAAUCACUAAACAUAUACAUUUUUCUAGGUUUUUUUUAGUGAUGUUUCAACUUUGUGGAUUGUGUGAUAACUUCCAUCCGGAACCAUAUGAAAUUUAAAUGCACAUUGGUAUCCAAAGUUACCCUGGGUAAUCGGUCAGGAUACCAACCUUUUAGCUAGAUGUGUAAAAACAUAUGCCCAUGCUCAUGACUAUCAUAUUAAUUCCAUUUCUGAUAACAGGUGUGCUUCAAUAAUUUAUUUAAGAUACAUUUUAAUAUUAUUUGAUUAUUUAUUAAUUAUUUCCAUUUUGUAGCGCGUGUGAAACAGUUAUUUUAGUUGAUGAUUUAUGGAUAAAGAUUUCGAUCUUGGAAGUCAAUAGUCAAAGUUUUCAUAUUGUUGACAUGAAGCCUGCAAACAUUGAGGAUUUAACCGGUAUGUUGGGGUGAAUCAACCAUGAUUGAAGUCGUGAUAUUGCCUCUUCAAUAAGUUAUUGAGAAUCCAACAAACUGAAGAUUCGUUCUUCUAUUAGACAGGUAGGUACAUUAUUAAAAUACAAUUAUUUUUGAAAAUUAAAGUAGUUGACCAUUUUACCCUUUCUUGCAUUUUUGUUCCCAUGUAUAAUUUUAUCUAUAUUCAUAACUGUCUCAUAGCUCUUAUAAACGUUCGGUGGACAUGUAACCCUCUUUUGGAAUACUCACUUAUUAAAAACAAACCUCUCUUUGUUAUCUACAUUAAGAGUAUAUAACCUAUAUGGGACAGAAACCAUGAGAUUCUUUGGUGAAGUUUUUUUUUUCAAAUGACUCUUUUACAGGUAUCUCAAAUUUGUUCCUCUGCGUAUCCUAAAUUUGAUAACAUUUUUCUUUGUUUUUUGGAUUAAGUGUCAUCCCCAAACUCUUUAUGCAAAGUUUUUCAGAAAAUAUGUAUUUGGAAUGGGAUAUAUGCCAAACAUGGUAAGUUUCUUUACAAAAUAGUGAAAUUGUAAAAUAUAUAUACCCCAUUUAAAAUGAAGAAGCAUGCCAAUCAAAGUUGUUUUUAAUAACAAUGUCAUUUAAAUUAACUGUUUUCCAUUUAUUUUUUAACAACUUCAUUUUUUGAUGAUUUUGAUAGCAAGACUAUGCAUAAAGGUCCAGAUAAGAUGAAAAAGUUGAGUGCUUCAGAACGAAGGUUAGUAUUAUGGAAAUGGACAAUUUUUAAAUUCCACAAUGCUUCAUUUUUAUUUUAUGAAAAUAGAUUGUUUUAAACUACAGAUCUUGAUUUUAUCAAAGUUUUCGAACGUUAUUCCCUACUUUGAUGGUCUUUAGACUAAAUUUGUGUUUAUUUCUCAAGUUAUGUACCUUAACUAUAAAAUAUAUAAGAAAAUAAUGAUAUUUGGAUUGGUUAGAUAAUCUUGAUUAUCAGCUUAUUCGUGUUGAGUUGAACCCACUUGAUUAAGCAAGUUAAUUGUUGGGGAAUCAUCCACUAAAGUUGGUCACUGUUGUUGUAAGAUGUCAAUGAAAUCACUUUUAUUUGACUUUA